RNAcentral lists this unclassified non-coding RNA (277 nucleotides) under Moritella viscosa. RNAcentral's name for it is "putative sRNA". The record is from RNAcentral. Lineage: Bacteria; Pseudomonadati; Pseudomonadota; Gammaproteobacteria; Alteromonadales; Moritellaceae.
AUUUGAUGUUUUACGUGUUUUUUAUUAACAACCCUCGUAUUUGUGUGUUUAUUGAGCGGGUUAUUGUGUUUGUGCUUAUCCGUGUUCGUUUUACGCCUGAAUCUAGUUGUUUAUGUCGCUUUGUUACAUGCGUUUGGUUUUAUAAUUCGCACUGUCAUCCUCCUUUAAAUAUAUUGGUAGCUAUUAGUGGGUAGUUAUUUUGUUUUUAACAAUUAAUUAGCAAUUAUUUUGUAUACGUAGAUCACGCUUAUAUUAAAAGGCUCAAAUUUAUUUUAGU